RNAcentral lists this long non-coding RNA (2001 nucleotides) under Mus musculus (house mouse). RNAcentral's name for it is "long non-coding RNA chr18:36599557-36601558". Lineage: Eukaryota; Metazoa; Chordata; Mammalia; Rodentia; Muridae. The record is from RNAcentral.
AAGUCACUUAGAUUAUAAGAGGUUGCAAAAUAGAAGUAUCCUAGCAGUCUGUUAUUCUGUUCUUGUUCAUUAGCUGAAAUUUUCUGUAAAAAGAAAUCUACCUAUAUUCAAGAUUUAGUAGAAAUUUGGUAGAUAUUGUAGGAUAACAUUUGACUUGACUUUACUCCCCUUUUAUUUAUCAAUUUCUAGAAAUAAUGAGAUGAUUCCCUAGUAUCCUUCAAAAGUAGGCAGUGUAGUAGAGGAAGAAGAGUGUUUUAAAUUGCUACUCUGUGUGCAUACUUGUGUGUUUGUGGGUAUGCGUGCAUACAUGCAUGCAUGUACGUGCAUGACCACAAGUACACCACAGUGUGGAUGUGGAGGUCAGACUACAACUUUGUGAAGUCAGUUUUCUUCUUCCUCUUCCUACCUUUCUGUAGAUUCCACCAAACACAUGUUGUCAUACUGGGGUAGCACUGCAGAGCUAUCUACCAGAUGUUAAGGUCCUUUGGGCUCCAGGACACAAAGGUUAGGGUUAAGAAAUGCAUAUCUUUCUUAAACAUUUAAAAGAAAUGCCAUAAAUUCAUGUUUGUAGUUCCAAUUUAGAACCAUUAGGUUUUUAUUUAACUUAAAUAAUUAAUGUUUUUCUUUCUUUUUUUAAUACCAAUAACAUUUUUAAAAAUAUUUUUUAUUUAUUAAUUAUAUGUAAAUACACUGUUGCUGUCUUGAGACACUCCAGAGGAGGGCAUCAGAUCUCAUUACAGAUGACUGUGAACCACCAUGUGGUUGCUGGGAUUUGAACUCAGGACCUUCGGAAGAGCAGUCAGUGCUCUUAACCACUGAGCCCCAAUGUUUUUCUUAAUGAGAAAAAAAUUUUCAUUUUUACCAAAUAAUUAUUUGCUUGAUUUAUAUCAUAUUAUCCAUAGAACUGUUUCAAAAUUCCCUAUUUAAGUGUUUUGCUUUUGUAUCUAGUACUUAAGGUAUGUUUUGUAAGAUAUGCAGGCAAAUUUCUCUGCUUUAAAAUAAUUUGGUUUAUUGCAUUGUUAUAAGGCAGAACACACUUCUAUGAAAUGUAUUUAGAAGAAAUAAGACAAAAGGGGGAAAUAGGAAUACUUAACUGUAUUUUGAUGGCAUUUUCACGGUUUAAAUGCUUCAGUUUCACUUUAUCGUAAAACUGGACUAAUGUAAUUCUUCAAUUUCAGGGUAAAUGUGUGGUUUUAUUUUUUUUCUAGGUGCUAAUGUGCAUGCUACCACAGCUACAGGAGACACAGCUCUAACCUAUGCUUGUGAAAAUGGACAUACAGAUGUUGCAGAUGUUCUACUUCAAGCAGGGGCCCAUUUAGUAAGAUUUUUAAAAUUUCAAAUAUUUAUGCAUGAAUGUUAAUAUAUAUCAUCUAGAACACAUUUGUAAUGAUCAGUGAUUUACACAUUUUGAAUAAAAUAAGGAUUGGUAGUAUGGCAUACAAGUCUUGCUGCCAAGACUUGACAAGUUGAGUUUAAUCCCCAGAACCCACAUGGUAGAAAAUGAUAACCAACUCUCAAGUUAUCUUCAAACCUCAUGUGUACAUGUGGUUGUACAUACACACUAUGAUUUUUUAAAAUCAUUUAUUUAUUUAUUUAUUUAUUUAUUAUAUGUAAGUACACGGUAGCUGUCUUCAGACACUCCAGAACAGGGCAUCAGAUUUCAUUACAGAGGUUGUGAGCCACCAUGUGGUUGCUGGGAUUUGAACUCAGGACCUUUGGAAGAGCAGUCGGUGCUCUUAACUGCUGAGCCAUCUCACCAGCCCACACACUAAGAUUUAAUUGAACAAAAUAAGCCUCUGGUCACCUGUAAGUUGUUAAAUGUAUUAAAUGCAUUUGAAAUACAUUAAAUAGCAAAUACCAUUUCUUUUCUUAGGCAAAAAACUAUUAGUUUCUAUUCUAUUCAUCCUAUCCUCAUUAAACCUGUACUUUCUAAAGUGCUAUUUAUUACGUAUAUCAUAAAAUUCAAUGAUGUUUUCACAAAAUAAAACAAUUUGACAAUUC